GGCCAACAUCCCUACCUCCCUCUUCAACUCCCACCCAACACAAUUGUGGUUCCUUCACGGCUGCCUCCCAGCCAAAUCCGGCCGCCACCAACCAGCACGUGCUCGCCUUGGUCUCCUCUUUCUCCCUGAAAAAGUCUACCAGGUUCAAGGGCAGAGCCAUAGAUUUAGCCUCUAAAAAUAGGCUCUGGACGAAUUUAACCAUGAUGUGCACGCAAGGGCGGUGAUGCCUUUUACUACUUGAGAGGCCCAACUA
This is a long non-coding RNA of Triticum dicoccoides, 253 nucleotides long. RefSeq lists it as uncharacterized. The transcript is spliced from 3 exons. The record is from RefSeq and is a predicted model, not a curated record. NCBI's taxonomy places the organism in Eukaryota, Viridiplantae, Streptophyta, Magnoliopsida, Poales, Poaceae.